AGCAGCGUGGCUCAGUGGACAGAGCCUGGGCUUCGGAGUCAGUGGUCAAGGGUUCGACUCCCGGCUCUGCCA
Ornithorhynchus anatinus (platypus) is the source of this 72-nucleotide non-coding RNA. NCBI's taxonomy places the organism in Eukaryota, Metazoa, Chordata, Mammalia, Monotremata, Ornithorhynchidae. The record is from Rfam.